ACUUCCUGGCGCCGCCGUCCAAGCCUCCCGCUCGGCGCCCCCGGCUCCCGCCCGCCGCCGCCGCCGCCGCCGCCCUACCUGGUGAAGCAGUACUCGCAGUGGUUGCCCCGCUCGUUGACCGUGAGCACGUAGGCAUAGGCCGGGCAGGAGAACAGCAAGUCCCCCACCUGGAAGGGCUGCAGAGCCCGCAGCCCCCGGCCUUUGCCCGGGCUGCAGAAGCGCUCCAGGCCGCCGAGGCCCUCGGCCCUCAUGGUGGCGGCGGGGCGCGGCCGCCGGCUGUGCCCGAGCUGCGGCUCCCGGCGAGCUGUUAUUGGAGACGCGUCACCUAGAGCUGCGGGGGGCGGGGUGGGAGCCGCCCGGCGGACGCGGCGGCGGCUCCCCGCUCCCCGGAAGGGAGGGCGGCCCCGCCCGGGCCUCGCGCGCCCCCGCGGGGAGGGGGACGGGCCCGGCGGCCCCGCCUAGCGCCGCGACCCUCGGCGGCCGCCCCGCGCGCGCUCCGGGCCGUUUCCGGUGUGGCCGCGACAAAGAGCCGCAGCCCCUGUGGCUUCUGCGAGGAGGCGUGAGGCGUGUGCGCCUCCGCGGCGUCUCCACGGAGCGAGCGGGACGCGCCCUCCUCCUCGGUGGGAGGGAGGGGGGUCACCUGCGGGGACCAGGUAUCCGAGGGCCACCCCUAGACAGUCAGCCUGGCCCGAAGGAUGACCAGCCCCCGGUAAAUAGAAGGGGGCGAAGCCAGCUCCGAAACCUUACGUUCGCUGUCCCUUGUAAAGACCCUAGAGGCAGUGAUCGGGGAACGCCAAGGAGAAAGCGGCAGAGGGGAAACCACAGUAGAGAAGUUUGGUGUGCAGAGGGUUGAAGUGUGCUUUUCCAAGGUUAGAGGUUUUUAAACCUUGUGGCUUUAAUGGGAACGUAGUUUGCCCUCUGCUCCUCUAGUGGAAUUACAUGGACGGAAGAGGAAAUGCAUUGGCCGGCCCAGCUCACCGAGUCUCUGAGGCAUGCUGCGAACGUUGCAGAGGAAGCCAGAGAGAACCUUGCCUUCAAGGAAUUUAGGCUGUUGGGGGAUAAUGCGAUGCUGUGGCCAGUGUCCAGGACACUGCGCUAGAGUUUGCAGUAGUUUUAAUAUGCUUGACCACCCACGAACUGUGAUCUUAGAAAAGUCACUUGGGUUAGGAGUCAAAGGAUUUAAAGCCCACAAAGCCUGAAACGUAAAUCCUAUACACAUGCACGCUAUUACUUUUCAUAUGAGAAAGGAAAAUAUAAUCCGUGUUCCACAUGAUUAUGUAAAGACUGGAAUUGAUGUACAUGCAGUAAAGACUAAAAUUGUGACGAGAUCAUUUAGCAGAAACCACUACUUCAAAAUAGGACCUCAAACAGUUACCUGUGUAAGUUCAGGACUGGUUGAGCAAAGGGAAAGGAUUAAUAUGAUUGGAGAUGUAAAAUCAGUGGAAUUUUUGGCAUUUCAGUAAAAUGUCUUUAUCAGCUGGGUGUGGUGGCUCAGCCCUGUAAUCCCAACACUGUGGGAGGCCAAGGUGGGAGGAUCAUUUGAGCCCAGGAAUUGGAGAGUUGGAGACCAGCUUGGGCAACAUAAAGACCCCGUCUCUAUGGGAAAUUAACCACCUCUCAAGUGGUGCUGAGGUGGGAGGAUAGCUUGAGCCUGGGAAGUCAAGGUUGCAGUGAGCUGUGGUGACUCCAUUAUACUCCAGCCUGGGUGACAGAGCAGGACCUUGUCUCAAAAGAAAACAAAAAAGCCCUUAUUAGUGGCAAACUAAAUAAGCCUCUAACCCGUCUUCAAGUAAAGGAAGUUAUGAUAGUAUUUUCAUUUAUGCAUUUUAAGAAACUUCGACUGACUAUGGCCAGCAACUGGGAUAGAAAGAUGGACAUCAGCCGGCUGUGGUGGCUCACGCCUGUAAUCCCAGCACUUUGGGAGGCCGAGGUAGGCGGAUCACCUGAGGUCGAGAGUUCAAGACCAGCCUGACCAACAUGGAGAAACCUCAUCUCUACUAAAAAUACAAAAUUAGCCAGGUGUGGUGGUGCAUGCCUGUAAUCCCAGCUACUCGGGAGGCUGAGGCAGGAGAAUCGCUUGAACCUGGGAGGUGGAGGUUGCUGUGAGCCAAAAUCGCACCAUUGCACUCCAGCCUGCGCAAGAAGAGCGAAACUCUGUCUCAAAAAAAAAAAAAAAAAAAAAGUGGACAAAAUGUAGUCCUAGGUCCUUGCAUUUGGCACAUUCAAGUUUGAUAAUACCAUUAGUUAUUGAGUAUUGUUGACCAGGCAUCGUGCUCCAUCAUUAAACACAUUAUCUGGUUUAUCUUUACAACAGGCUAAUGAGUUAGGUAUUAUGCCCCUCAUUGCCAAAAUUAGGAAGGAAACUAAGACCCAGAAGGAAUGAUUUUCAAGGCCACACAAUAAAUUGCAGAAUUUGGUUUCCAAGUCAGUCUGAAUUCAAGGUCCAUGUUCCUAACCACAGUGUUUUGCUGCAAACAAACACAGUUCACUGGGAUAAGUGCAGUUAUGGUGGCUUGUACAAAAUGUUCUGUGGUAGUACAGGCAGGGAGUGACAGCUUUAGCCUGCUAAACAGUCAAGACAGGCAUCACAUUCAAGUAACGUUAGAGCUGAGCCUGAAGGAUGGACAGGAUUUUGCAAGUGGAGGUGGGGAGAAGAGUUUUCUGGGCAGAGAGAACUGCGUACAAAGACAGAAGACCCUGAAAGCACAGAGCUUGUAGUUGGGGGCCCCUGAGCAUCUGGAAGAGAGGACAGGAAAUGAGGCAGGAACAGCUGAAGAGCAUCUUCUCCAGAGGUGAGUUCUGCCCCAGAGGCCAUGGGAGAGCCAGUUAAAGCGUUUAAGUGAGGGGUGGCACAUUGAGUCCAGUGUUUUAGACUGAUCUGCCAGCAGCAUUGUGGGUUGGCUGGGGUGCCAACAUUCAGCACUUCAUAACUGUUUACAUGUAUAUAAACAGCCUUGGCAUGUGAGACCACUGACAGUUUGCAUUUGUCUGUGUGAUGACCUGAUUAGUGUUUACAUCCUCCACCAGACUGUACAAGCUCCAUGAGGGCAGGGAAUGAGUCUGUUUUUGUUACCCUUACAUCACCAGCUCUUAUCACUACUCCUGGAACACAGAGAGAAUGGAAAAAAUAUUUAAAGGUUGAAUAAACGUCAUGGAAUCUCAUUCUGAUUUCUGGGGGCUCUAACCAGCAAAAAGAUGAAAAGACUGACGUAGAAGUAAACAAUUACAAUACAGUAGACAGUUUACUGUUUCAAUGAUUAAUUGUGCAAAGUAAUCUACCUGUUUACUUUUUUUAUUGCAAGUAACUUUUUCCACUUUAAUUGGGAAAGAUUUCCACAGCUGAGAAAAAAGCAAUUACAUAGCUACCGAAUUAUCUUUCCAGAUGAGUGCUGGCUUAUUCUUGAGGGUGGAGGUGACUGUGAUUUGAGAACACUGGAAAAGAAACCGCCUCAUUUCAGAAAAAUCCCUGUGAUGAACUUAAAUGACUCGAGAUGGGGAAAUGGUCACUGAAGCAGUAGCCAUGAAUUUAGGAGCUUAAAUUACUAAGAAAACUGUGUUUAAAAUAAACAGCCAAAGAAUGGCAAUAAACCAGCCCGGGGAGACUGAUGACAGCGCUCUUCAUGAAGCCCAUACUUGUCACUCUGCCACUCUGUAAUCUCACAUUCCGUGAAGUCUUUGAGCAGCCAGGACCCAUCCACUUUUCCUACGCCCUCUGCUCCAUAACGUAGGAGGUAUGGAAUUUGAAAGGAGUGUUUUUGGUUACUUUGCCUCACUGAAACUCAGGAGAAGUGGUACAAGGACGAAAACUCCUUUGCUUAAUUUCUCUAACCUAGAAGUUGAUCUAAUUUAUGAGUAAAAGAUCCUUCCAACCACAGAUUAGCACAUGAAAGAAAUAGCUCUGGCCUAGGGAAAUGAAGCCUUAGCAAAGAAGGUAUCCCAGUGAACGUGAGCAAAGGGCCUAGAUGCUGUAUAGUUCUGCAUCUAUGUCUACAUGUCACUUAUUGAGGACAUACUAUGUACUUACACUGUGAUAGAUCCUAGUCAUACCAAGGUGUAAAGACCAACAUACAUGAAAACAGUUAUGAAGUGCUGAAUGUUGGCACUCAUAGAUAUUAGGUUCCAAUCCCUGGAAUCUAUAAAUGGCUUCAAAGGGUCUUGCAAAUGUGUUUUAAGGAUCUUGAGAGAGUGAGAGUAUCCUGGAACAUCCAGGUGGGUUCUCUGUGCAGUUGCAAGUUUUCUGAUGAAGGACAGAAGGAAAUUUGACACAGACAGGAGAGGAGGCAGCAAUGUGACUAUGGAGGCAGUGAUGAGAGGGAUACAGUGAUGGGCUAAGGAAUGCUGGCAGCCACCAGAGCUGGAAGAGGCAAGGAACACCUUUCCCCUAGAGCCUCGGGAGGGAGUGUGGCUUUGCCAAUACCCUCACUUCAGCCUGUUAAUCUAAUUUCAGACUUCUGGCCUCUAGAACUAUGAGAGAAUAAAUUUCUGUUGUUUUAAGACACCUGUUUUGUGGUAAUUUGUCAUAGCAGCCACAGGGAGCUAAUAAAAUAAUCCAAUAAAAUUUUAAUAGGGAGCUGAACAAAGUGCAGUAGGAAGGCUUCACAGAGAACCUGACAUUUUAGCUUCUAGAAGGAAGAGGAAAGAUUGACCAAGGGAAAGCAAAGUUCCCAAAAUGGGCUUAAGACUAACAGUGCAGAGCUGGGCAUGGUGGCUCAUGCCUGUAAUCCCAGCAGUUUAGGAGGCUGAGGUAGGUGGAUCACUCGAGCCCAAGAGUUUGAGACCAACCUUGGCAAUGUGAUGAAACCCCAUCUCUACAACAAGAGCAACACAUUAGCUGGGCGUGGUGGCAUGCACCUGUAGUCCCAGCUAAUCAGGAGGCUGAGGAAGGAGGAUCGCCUGAGCCUGGGAGGCAGAGGUUUCAGUGAGCUUUGAUCAUGCCACUGCACUCCAGCCUGGGCAAUGGAGCUAAGCCUUGUCUCAAAAAUAAAAAAAAUAGGCUGGGAAUGGUGGCUCACACGUGUAAUCUCCGCACUUGGGGAGGCUGAGGCCGGUGGAUCACAAGGUCAGGAGACUGAGACCAUCCUGGCCAACACGGUGAAAUCCCGUCACUACUAAAAAUGCAAAAAAUUAGCCAGGUGUGGUGGUGUGUGCCUGUAAUCCCAGCCACUUGGGAGGCUGAGGCAGGAGAAUACCUUGAAACCGGGAGGUGGAGGUUGCAGUGAGCCCAGAUUGUGCUAUUGCACUCCAGCCUAGCCACAGAGUGAGACUGUCUCAAUAAAUAAAUAAAUAAUAAAGACCACAGUUGAAAUUCACUGGGGUAGGAGAGACUUUGACAGUCCAAUGGACAAUUUUUCUUGGACUUAACGAAUGUUUCCAUAGCUCUCACUAUGUACCAGGUGUACCUUUAAAAUAUAUUCUCAUAUAAUCCUUCUAAUGACAUUCCACAGAGGAGAAUACCAAAUUGAGAGGUGAAGCUAGCUGGACUUCCUGGGUCGAGUGGGGGCUUGGAGAACUUUUCUGUCUAGCUAGAGGAUUGUAAAUGCACCAGUCAGGACUCUGUAAAAACACACCAAUCAGUGCUCUGUGUCUAGCUAGAGGAUUGUAAAUGCACCAAUCAGCACUCUGUAAAAACGCACCAGUCAGUGCUCUGUGUCUAGCUAAAGGAUUGUAAAUGCAACAAUCAGCACUCUGUGUCUAGCUAAAGGAUUGUAAGUAUACCAGUCAGCACUCUGUAAAAUGGACCAAUCAGCUUUCUGUAAAAUGGACCGAUCAGCAGGAUGUGGGCGGGGCCAAAUAAGGGAAUAAAAGCUGGCCACCCAGGCCAGCAGUGGCAACCCGCUCGGGUCCCCUUCCACACUGUGGAAGCUUUGUUCUUUUGCGCUUCACAAUAAAUCUUGCUGCUCCUGACUCUGGAUGUGCACUACCUUUAUGAGCUGUAACACUCACUGCAAGGGUCUGCGGCUUCAUUCCUGAAGUCAGCGAGACCAUGAACCCACCAGGAGGAACAAACAACUCCGGACGCGCCACCUUUAAGAGCUGUAACACUGACUGCGAAGGUCUGUGGCUUCACCCCUGAAGUCAGCGAGACCAUGCACCUACCCCAGGAAGAAACUCCAGACACAUCUGAACAUCUGAAGGAACAAACUCCGGACACACCAUCUUUAAGAACUGUAACACUCAUGGCGAGGGUCUGCAGCUUCAUUCUUGAAGUCAGCGAGACCAAGAACCCACCGGAAGGAAUAAAUUCCAGACACAGAAUCACAGAAGUGACAUGUAUGAACAAGCUGUCUAGCAGUGAGUCCAGGCUCAGAACCACUCCACCAUGCUGCCUCUCUGUUCAGCCAGAGCUACAGCUUUCCUUAGAGUACUUGGGAUGAAGGUGGAUGGGCAGGAGUGGGCCCCAUCAUGAAACCCAUGAGCCUAGGAGCUAGACGGCACUGUGUAGGCACGUGAGUCAGAAGAAUUUUGGCUGACAUGAUCCGAGUUUUGCUGUAGAAAGUUCAUUUUUUAGCUAAAUAGAGAAUACACUAGAAGGGGCUGAGGAGACAGAGGGAACUGAGGCGCCUGAUGCAAUAAAGGGUCCAGAGGAGAGAUGUUACUGGAAUGAACAAGGGCAGUGACGGUGGCAAUGGGAAGGAGGGACAUGGAUUUGAAGAACUUUUAAUUAACAGGACACGGUAAUUGGGGCGAGUGAAGAGAAAGGAGAGGGAAUAUGAACCAUAAAAAAUAUGUCCAAGGACAACUGACAUCAUCACCUCCAUCCAGUCCUUCCAGUUCAUUCCCCCCCGCCCCCCACUUGAGCCUUGUGUUUAUUCCCCAAACAAGAUUUUGUUAUUUCUUCAUUCGCCAUAUCUCUUGUCUAAUCUUUUAUUUCCAUUCUUAAUGCCACUCAGCCCUUAAGUCUUUAUGUCCGGUUUUGUGCAGUAGACUCUCAACAGCAGAGUGAGUUCAAAUUUUGAGAUAUUAGCCUGGGAUCAUACAUUCCAACUCUGUGUUUCCUCUUACC
This 7003-nucleotide long non-coding RNA is filed under the name Homo sapiens (human). Its description in RNAcentral is "non-protein coding lnc-PTPN14-2:6". The record is from RNAcentral. Lineage: Eukaryota; Metazoa; Chordata; Mammalia; Primates; Hominidae.